This 199-nucleotide ribosomal RNA is filed under the name uncultured bacterium. RNAcentral describes it as "partial 16S ribosomal RNA". It matches the Rfam family "Bacterial small subunit ribosomal RNA", at positions 335 to 524 of the family's 1533-position model. The record is from RNAcentral.
ACUCCUACGGGAGGCAGCAGUGGGGAAUAUUGGACAAUGGGGCGCAAGCCUGAUCUAGCCAUGCCGCGUGUGUGAAGAAGGCCCUCGGGGUUGUAAAGCACUUUAAGCGAGGAGGAAGGUCAUCAUACUAAUAUUAUGAUGAAUUGACGUUACUCGCAGAAUAAGCACCGGCUAACUCUGUGCCAGCAGCCGCGGUAAU